UGAGGAAUAUUGGACAAUGGCCGGAAGGCUGAUCCAGCCACGCCGCGUGCGGGAAGACGGCCCUAUGGGUUGUAAACCGCUUUUGCGAGGGAGCAAUAAGGUCCACGUGUGGGUCGAUGAGAGUACCUCGCGAAUAAGCAUCGGCUAACUCCGUGCCAGCAGCCGCGGUAAUACGGAGGAUGCAAGCGUUAUCCGGAUUUAUUGGGUUUAAAGGGUGCGCAGGCGGCUUGUUAAGCGGGAGGUGAAAUGCCGGCGCUCAACGUCGGAAGUGCCGCCCGAACUGGUGAGCUGGAAUGACUCUGCCGUGGGAGGAAUGUGUAGUGUAGCGGUGAAAUGCUUAGAGAUUACACAGAACACCGAUUGCGAAGGCAUCUCACGAAGGGUUGACUGACGCUGAGGCGCGAAAGC
This 408-nucleotide ribosomal RNA is filed under the name uncultured bacterium. RNAcentral describes it as "bacterial SSU rRNA". It matches the Rfam family "Bacterial small subunit ribosomal RNA", at positions 355 to 760 of the family's 1533-position model. The record is from RNAcentral.